Molecule: ribosomal RNA, 482 nt
Filed under: uncultured bacterium
Lineage: Bacteria
Description: bacterial SSU rRNA
Rfam family: Bacterial small subunit ribosomal RNA
Source: RNAcentral
AUUGAACGCUGGCGGCAUGCUUUACACAUGCAAGUCGAACGGUAACAGGUCUUCGGAUGCUGACGAGUGGCGAACGGGUGAGUAAUGCAUCGGAACGUGCCCAGUCGUGGGGGAUAACGCAGCGAAAGCUGUGCUAAUACCGCAUACGAUCUAAGGAUGAAAGCGGGGGAUCGCAAGACCUCGCGCGAUUGGAGCGGCCGAUAUCAGAUUAGGUAGUUGGUGGGGUAAAGGCUCACCAAGCCAACGAUCUGUAGCUGGUCUGAGAGGACGACCAGCCACACUGGAACUGAGACACGGUCCAGACUCCUACGGGAGGCAGCAGUGGGGAAUUUUGGACAAUGGACGCAAGUCUGAUCCAGCCAUUCCGCGUGCAGGACGAAGGCCUUCGGGUUGUAAACUGCUUUUGUACAGAACGAAAAGGUCUCUAUUAAUACUAGGGGCUCAUGACGGUACUGUAAGAAUAAGCACCGGCUAACUACGUG